GCAAGUCGAACGCGAAAGUCCCGCAAGGGAUUAGUAGAGUGGCAAACGGGUGAGUAACACGUGGGUGACCUGCCUUCGAGUGGGGGAUAACGUCCCGAAAGGGUCGCUAAUACCGCAUGACAUCCUGCUUUUUAAGAGGUGGAGAUCAAAGCCGGGGACCGCAAGGCCUGGCGCUUGAAGAGGGGCCCGCGCCUGAUUAGCUAGUUGGUGAGGUAACGGCUCACCAAGGCAACGAUCAGUAUCCGGCCUGAGAGGGCGGACGGACACACUGGGACUGAGACACGGCCCAGACUCCUACGGGAGGCAGCAGUGGGGAAUUGUUCGCAAUGGGCGCAAGCCUGACGACGCAACGCCGCGUGGAGGAUGAAGACCUUCGGGUCGUAAACUCCUUUCGAUCGAGACGAAUGGUCUCCGGGUGAAUAACCUGGAGAAGUGACGGUACCGAGAGAAGAAGCCCCGGCUAACUUCGUGCCAGCAGCCGCGGUAAUACGAGGGGGGCAAGCGUUGUUCGGAUUUAUUGGGCGUAAAGGGUGCGUAGGCGGUUUGGCAAGUCUUAUGUGAAAUCUAUGGGCUCAACCCAUAGUCUGCAUAAGAAACUGCCGGGCUUGAGUAUGGGAGAGGUGAGUGGAAUUUCCGGUGUAGCGGUGAAAUGCGUAGAUAUCGGAAGGAACACCUGUGGCGAAAGCGGCUCACUGGACCAUAACUGACGCUGAUGCACGAAAGCUAGGGGAGCAAACAGGAUUAGAUACCCUGGUAGUCCUAGCCCUAAACGAU
Molecule: ribosomal RNA, 774 nt
Filed under: uncultured bacterium
Lineage: Bacteria
Description: bacterial SSU rRNA
Rfam family: Bacterial small subunit ribosomal RNA
Source: RNAcentral